GAUUCUGGCUCAGGAUGAACGCUGGCGGCGUGCCUAAUACAUGCAAGUCGUACGAGGGAAGUCCAGCUUGCUGGACAGAACGAAUGGCGAACGGGUGAGUAAUACGUAAGCAACCUGCCUGCAAGGACUGGGAUAACACCUGGAAACGGGCGCUAAUACCGGAUAGGUAACAAAGGGGCAUCCCUAUGUUAUUAAAGGUUAGAAACACAAGCAGAUGGGCUUACGGUGCAUUAGCUAGUUGGUGAGGUAACGGCCCACCAAGGCGAUGAUGCAUAGCCGGCCUGAGAGGGUGAACGGCCACAUUGGGACUGAGACACGGCCCAGACUCCUACGGGAGGCAGCAGUAGGGAAUUUUCGGCAAUGGACGAAAGUCUGACCGUGCAACGCCGCCGUGAGUGAAGAAGGUUUUCGGAUUGUAAAGCUCUGUUGUAAGGGAAGAACAGCACGGAAAGAAUCCGUGAAUGACGGUACCUUACCAGAAAGCCACGGCUAACUACGUGCCAGCAGCGGC
This 511-nucleotide ribosomal RNA is filed under the name uncultured bacterium. RNAcentral describes it as "bacterial SSU rRNA". It matches the Rfam family "Bacterial small subunit ribosomal RNA", at positions 15 to 518 of the family's 1533-position model. The record is from RNAcentral.